GGCUUCCAUGGAUGUCGACAGAGUUUGAUCCUGGCUCAGAGCGAACGCUGGCGGCAGGCUUAACACAUGCAAGUCGAACGGGCGUAGCAAUACGUCAGUGGCAGACGGGUGAGUAACGCGUGGGAACGUACCUUUUGGUUCGGAACAACACAGGGAAACUUGUGCUAAUACCGGAUAAGCCUUACGGGGAAAGAUUUAUCGCCGAAAGAUCGGCCCGCGUCUGAUUAGCUAGUUGGUGAGGUAACGGCUCACCAAGGCGACGAUCAGUAGCUGGUCUGAGAGGAUGAUCAGCCACAUUGGGACUGAGACACGGCCCAAACUCCUACGGGAGGCAGCAGUGGGGAAUAUUGGACAAUGGGGGCAAGCCCGAUCCAGCCAUGCCGCGUGAGUGAUGAAGGCCCUAGGGUUGUAAAGCUCUUUUGUGCGGGAAGAUAAUGACGGUACCCC
Molecule: ribosomal RNA, 447 nt
Filed under: Pasture soil clone HPS-49
Lineage: Bacteria
Description: bacterial SSU rRNA
Rfam family: Bacterial small subunit ribosomal RNA
Source: RNAcentral